RNAcentral lists this ribosomal RNA (692 nucleotides) under Bacillus amyloliquefaciens. RNAcentral describes it as "bacterial SSU rRNA". It matches the Rfam family "Bacterial small subunit ribosomal RNA", at positions 69 to 744 of the family's 1533-position model. Lineage: Bacteria; Bacillati; Bacillota; Bacilli; Caryophanales; Bacillaceae. The record is from RNAcentral.
ACAGAUGGGAGCUUGCUCCCUGAUGUUAGCGGCGGACGGGUGAGUAACACGUGGGUAACCUGCCUGUAAGACUGGGAUAACUCCGGGAAACCGGGGCUAAUACCGGAUGGUUGUUUGAACCGCAUGGUUCAGACAUAAAAGGUGGCUUCGGCUACCACUUACAGAUGGACCCGCGGCGCAUUAGCUAGUUGGUGAGGUAACGGCUCACCAAGGCGACGAUGCGUAGCCGACCUGAGAGGGUGAUCGGCCACACUGGGACUGAGACACGGCCCAGACUCCUACGGGAGGCAGCAGUAGGGAAUCUUCCGCAAUGGACGAAAGUCUGACGGAGCAACGCCGCGUGAGUGAUGAAGGUUUUCGGAUCGUAAAGCUCUGUUGUUAGGGAAGAACAAGUGCCGUUCAAAUAGGGCGGCACCUUGACGGUACCUAACCAGAAAGCCACGGCUAACUACGUGCCAGCAGCCGCGGUAAUACGUAGGUGGCAAGCGUUGUCCGGAAUUAUUGGGCGUAAAGGGCUCGCAGGCGGUUUCUUAAGUCUGAUGUGAAAGCCCCCGGCUCAACCGGGGAGGGUCAUUGGAAACUGGGGAACUUGAGUGCAGAAGAGGAGAGUGGAAUUCCACGUGUAGCGGUGAAAUGCGUAGAGAUGUGGAGGAACACCAGUGGCGAAGGCGACUCUCUGGUCUGUAACUGAC